This 425-nucleotide ribosomal RNA is filed under the name uncultured bacterium. Its description in RNAcentral is "bacterial SSU rRNA". It matches the Rfam family "Bacterial small subunit ribosomal RNA", at positions 354 to 796 of the family's 1533-position model. The record is from RNAcentral.
GUGGGGAAUAUUGGACAAUGGGCGCAAGCCUGAUCCAGCCAUGCCGCGUGAGUGAUGAAGGCCCUAGGGUUGUAAAGCUCUUUCACCGGAGAAGAUAAUGACGGUAUCCGGAGAAGAAGCCCCGGCUAACUUCGUGCCAGCAGCCGCGGUAAUACGAAGGGGGCUAGCGUUGUUCGGAAUUACUGGGCGUAAAGCGCACGUAGGCGGACAUUUAAGUCAGGGGUGAAAUCCCGGGGCUCAACCCCGGAACUGCCUUUGAUACUGGGUGUCUGGAGUAUGGAAGAGGUAAGUGGAAUUCCGAGUGUAGAGGUGAAAUUCGUAGAUAUUCGGAGGAACACCAGUGGCGAAGGCGGCUUACUGGUCCAUUACUGACGCUGAGGUGCGAAAGCGUGGGGAGCAAACAGGAUUAGAUACCCCUGUAGUCC